GAUCCUCAUCCUCAUCAUUUCAUCUUCGACGCCGACGAGCAAACAACUCUGCUCCUCCAUCGUCGCCUUGCGUUCCUUCCUCCUCCAGUUGAAACACUCGAUUCCAUCAAGUAUUUCUUCUCACGACGACGAAGAAGGAGAAGAAGAAGAACAAGAAGAAGAAGAAGAAGAAGAAGAAGAAGAAGAAGAAGAAGAAGAAGAAGAACGUCCAACAAGGCUUGAUGGGGGACUACAACGGUAUGGAAGAUUUCACACUCCAUCUGAUUGAAAGCAUCACAGACAAAUUUUCAGAUGAUAGAAUAGUUGGCAGCGGCGGGUACGGACAUGUUUACAAGGCGGAGCACAACGGGAAAGAGAUUGCCGUGAAGAAACUUCAUCCCUUUCAAGGACUUGAUGACAAGCAAUUCCAUAGUGAAGUCCGUAACCUUAUCAAGAUCCGCCACAAGAAUGUCGUACAGUUGAUUGGAUACUGCUAUGAAUCACGGAAUAAAUACAUCGAGCACAAUAAAGAGCUCGUUUUCGCGAGAACGACGGAGCGAGUCAUCUGCUUUGAAUAUAUGGAGGGAGGAAGCCUCGAUAAAUACAUUACAGAUGAACCUUGUGGGCUUGGCUGGUCUACAUGUUACGACAUAAUUAAAGGCACCUGCGAGGGCUUAAACCACCUUCAUACUGUGCAGGCGACACCAAUUUGCCACUUGGACUUGAAACCUGGUAAUAUAUUGCUGGAUAAGAGCAUGAUGCCCAAAAUUGGAGAUCUUGGCUUGUCAAAACUUGUUGCUUCCACUGAAACACAUAAAACAGAGAUGCUCAAAGGAACAAAAGGGUAUAUGCCACCAGAAUACAUUGACAGUGGCCGUAUAUCAAAGAAGUUUGACGUCUUCAGUCUGGGAGUUAUAAUACUAAGGAUGAUGGCUGGGAAUAAGGGCUACUUCAGUUGUUCUAACACGCCACCCAAACAGUUCAUUGACCUUGUAAGUGAAAACUGGAAGGAAAGGUUGCAGGCAGUGUCGCAGGAUUCGUCAUACGAGAUGGACAUACUUCGAGUGCGUAAAUGCGUUGAUAUAGCUCUAAGAUGUGUGGACACUGACCGAAAGAAAAGGCCUACUAUCCAGGAUAUUGUCCGUCAAGUGGAGGAACUAGAAGCCAAUAUUGAAAAAAUGAUGUCAGCACCUUCUCCUGAGUCAAAAGAUCUAACUUUCCAGAGAAGCUGUGAUACCAAUGUUCUAUCUGUGGAUCCAACCCUGGAGCUGCGGUUCGUCUUGGAGGCCAGGAAGGAGACGUCAUGCUGCCUGCAGCUAAUCAACAAAACAGACAGCUUCAUCGCAUUCAACAUAAAGAUUAACCAGCACAAGUACCGUGUGCGGCCAAGCCAAGGGACCAUGCGACCGUGCUCCUGGCGUUAUGUCAUCGUGACGCUGCAAAAGCAGGAGCCGGAGCUGCUCAACAUGAGGUGCCGCGACAUGCUCUUCGUACAGAGCAUCAGCGUCACCCAAGACUUGGCAUCAAAGGAUGAUGAGAUUGAUUAUCAAGAAUUGUUCGAGAAGCCCAUGCCGGAUAAGGUGGUUGAUGUGGUGAAGCUGCCGAUCGUUUAUGUUGCACUGGACCAAUAGUCUCAUCCACCAAAACUCUUUGAGGUUGUUAAAAUCCAAAA
This 1651-nucleotide ribosomal RNA is filed under the name Triticum aestivum (bread wheat). RNAcentral's name for it is "partial small subunit ribosomal RNA". Lineage: Eukaryota; Viridiplantae; Streptophyta; Magnoliopsida; Poales; Poaceae. The record is from RNAcentral.